GACGAACGCUGGCGGCGUGCUUAACACAUGCAAGUCGAACGGAAAGGCCCUGCUUUUGUGGGGUGCUCGAGUGGCGAGCGGGUGAGUAACACGUGAGUAACCUGCCCUUGACUUUGGGAUAACUUCAGGAAACUGGGGCUAAUACCGGAUAGGAGCUCCUGCUGCAUGGUGGGGGUUGGAAAGUUUCGGCGGUUGGGGAUGGACUCGCGGCUUAUCAGCUUGUUGGUGGGGUAGUGGCUUACCAAGGCUUUGACGGGUAGCCGGCCUGAGAGGGUGACCGGCCACAUUGGGACUGAGAUACGGCCCAGACUCCUACGGGAGGCAGCAGUGGGGAAUAUUGCACAAUGGGCGGAAGCCUGAUGCAGCAACGCCGCGUGCGGGAUGAAGGCCUUCGGGUUGUAAACCGCUUUCGCCUGUGACGAAGCGUGAGUGACGGUAAUGGGUAAAGAAGCACCGGCUAACUACGUG
Molecule: ribosomal RNA, 468 nt
Filed under: uncultured bacterium
Lineage: Bacteria
Description: partial 16S ribosomal RNA
Rfam family: Bacterial small subunit ribosomal RNA
Source: RNAcentral